UAAACGUAGGAGAACUUGCCGAUCUU
RNAcentral lists this non-coding RNA (26 nucleotides) under Drosophila melanogaster (fruit fly). Lineage: Eukaryota; Metazoa; Arthropoda; Insecta; Diptera; Drosophilidae. The record is from RNAcentral.